Cryptomeria japonica (Japanese cedar) is the source of this 967-nucleotide long non-coding RNA. RefSeq lists it as uncharacterized. The record is from RefSeq and is a predicted model, not a curated record. NCBI's taxonomy places the organism in Eukaryota, Viridiplantae, Streptophyta, Pinopsida, Cupressales, Cupressaceae. The transcript is spliced from 4 exons.
CAAGGAUUACAGAAAGCAAACAACAUGAAAUUUUUCAAAAAUUUAGAGUAGAAUUACCUGUGUGGUGACUAUGAUGAGCCAACUAGCCAUAACCGAGAUCUUUCUAUGGUAAAAGGCCUUGAUGAUAUUAACAAUCCCCACAGCGUAGGCAGAUCCACUGCCAAACGCAGAUUGUAAUGAGAACAUGCUCUUUCAUAUUGAAACGGCCAGGAUUCAACGAGAUGUGACCCAAAAGAGGCACUUUGUAUUUUGUAGAGGGCAGAACUGCAGCCAUGAAGCGCCCAAUUGGAAGAGCUGCUACCUGAACUGAUAUCUGUGUGAUAACCAGAGGUUCCUUUCUGUAGCCAAAGAAUUGAUUGAGAAAAGAGAGUGUUAUGCAGGAGAUUCUCAUUUGGAAUGUUCUUAAGCUAUGUGCCUUUGCCCUGUUCAAUGAUGAAUUCUCAUUGGUGGAAGGAUCAAAGGUUUUUACAGGAUUCUUUUCUCUCACAGGCCGAUCCAGCGGAGUAGUAGGCGUUGAAAGUAAAUCCUCGGUUUUCUCUUCUCUGAAUUCUUCAGCCAUAUCGAGAUUCGAACCUGUGACUAAGGUUCAAACCCUGGAAUUCAAAAUUUUUUUUCACAUUCUGGCUGGUAAAAGAUGAAGAGGCAAAACGGAGGAUCAGAAAAUAGCAGCCAAAUGAGAUCAAAUUCCCUCUUCCAGCCAUUCAUGGCACUGACAUUGGAUUCAUGGCUGGUCCCAUUUCUCAUGUUGGUACUAGCACUUCUCACAGGCCAUUGACAACAGAGGAUUACUGAGUUGCAUCAUCAACUUAGGAUAUUGCAGGUACAAGUAUCGAGAAGGUACGAGGUAUCGUCUCCACCUGGCUUUACAGGUCUGAGCAUGCCUUAUAUUUUUCGAUGGAAGUGGAGGAGAUAGUAGUUGACCCUAUUUUAUUCAGUUACACUCGUGUGAGUGUCGUCAGUUGGUCAU